This 460-nucleotide ribosomal RNA is filed under the name uncultured bacterium. RNAcentral's name for it is "partial 16S ribosomal RNA". It matches the Rfam family "Bacterial small subunit ribosomal RNA", at positions 338 to 795 of the family's 1533-position model. The record is from RNAcentral.
CCUACGGGGGGCAGCAGUGAGGAAUAUUGGUCAAUGGACGAGAGUCUGAACCAGCCAAGUAGCGUGAAGGAUGACUGCCCUAUGGGUUGUAAACUUCUUUUAUAUGGGAAUAAAAUGUUCCACGUGUGGGAGUUUGUAUGUACCAUAUGAAUAAGGAUCGGCUAACUCCGUGCCAGCAGCCGCGGUAAUACGGAGGAUCCGAGCGUUAUCCGGAUUUAUUGGGUUUAAAGGGAGCGUAGGUGGAUUGUUAAGUCAGUUGUGAAAGUUUGCGGCUCAACCGUAAAAUUGCAGUUGAAACUGGCAGUCUUGAGUACAGUAGAGGUAGGCGGAAUGCGUGGUGUAGCGGUGAAAUGCUUAGAUAUCACGAAGAACUCCGAUUGCGAAGGCAGCUCACUGGACUGCAACUGACACUGAGGCUCGAAAGUGUGGGUAUCAAACAGGAUUAGAUACCCUAGUAGUC